GACUGUGCGAAGGUAGCAUAAUUAGUUGCCCCUUAAUUGGGGGCUUGUUUGAAUGGUUUGACGGAGUAAAGCUAAAUAUUUGAGUUUUAGGUGAAAUUUAUUAGUAGGGCACAGAAUCCUACUAAAUUAAUUAGACGGAAAGACCCCGGGAGCUUGGUAUUUUGCCUGGGGCAGGUAUUGGUGGUUUACCAAUAUUUUGUUCCUGAGUUUAGAAUAAUGGGUUAAGUUACCCCGGGGAUAACAGUGUAAUAGUUAAGUAGAGAUCUUAUCGAGUUAACUGGUUGCUACCUCGAUGUUGACUUAAGUGUAGCUUAGGCGCAGUAGUUUAAGUGUUGGGUCUGUUCGACCUUAUAAACUUCCAUGAGUUGAGUUAAGACCGGCGUGAGCCAGGUCGGUUCUUAUCUAUUAAUGAAACUUAUUAGUACGAAAGGACCGUAAGUUUUUUUAUUGAGUAUGAAGCUUAGUGCCUUAGUUUUGCAAAAACUAAUGAGAAGAUCUUUGUGUUCUUCCAUACUUUAUAUGUUUAACUAUGGCAAUAGGAAGUGUUUACUACAAUAAUUGCAUAAAAAUAUUAUGUUUUUAUUAUGGACAGAUUUGAUUUGUAUUAUUAGCAGUUAGUUUUUUAUUUAGAUGCGAGUCUUUUAAGAUUGUAGAAUACAAAGGGGAGAGGGCACAGUGCCAGCAUCUGCGGUUAUUCUGUUUUCUUUGCUUUCAUAUGGACUAUGUGUAAAUAUUAUUAAGUGAGUUUGGGUGAAAUUUACUUACCUCAAUAUUUAAUAUUUAUAAUGCGGCAAAUAGCUUUUUAUGACAGGGAUUAGAUACCCCAUUAAUUGGUUAUAAUAAUGGGUCUUAGUGUCAACUAAAAUAGUUUGGCAGCGAACGAUUCUAUCGGGGGAAGGUGUA
This 903-nucleotide ribosomal RNA is filed under the name Skrjabinotaenia sp. EE8. RNAcentral's name for it is "partial large subunit ribosomal RNA". The stretch from base 1 to 436 matches the Rfam family "Bacterial large subunit ribosomal RNA", at positions 1944 to 2925 of the family's 2925-position model. The record is from RNAcentral. Lineage: Eukaryota; Metazoa; Platyhelminthes; Cestoda; Cyclophyllidea; Catenotaeniidae.